CCUACGGGAGGCAGCAGUAAGGAAUAUUGGACAAUGGCCGCAAGGCUGAUCCAGCCAUGCCGCGUGCAGGAUGACGGUGCUCUGCAUUGUAAACUGCUUUUGUUCGGGAAUAAACCUCUUCACGUGUGAGGAGUUGAAUGUACCGAAAGAAUAAGGGACGGCUAACUUCGUGCCAGCAGCCGCGGUAAUACGAAGGUCCCAAGCGUUAUCCGGAUUUAUUGGGUUUAAAGGGUGCGUAGGCGGGUUAUUAAGUCAGUGGUGAAAGCUCCCAGCUCAACUGGGAAACUGCCAUUGAUACUGAUAGUCUUGAGUAUGAUUGAAGUGGGCGGAAUGUGUCAUGUAGCGGUGAAAUGCUUAGAUAUGACACAGAACACCGAUUGCGAAGGCAGCUCACUAAGCCAUAACUGACGCUGAUGCACGAAAGCGUGGGGAGCAAACAGGGAUUAGAUACCCUGGUAGUCCACGCCCUAAACGAUGAUCCNCUCGAUGUGUGCGACGUAACGUAGUACGCCGUCCGACGACGAAACGAACGUAAGUUAAGUUAGUUAGUACCGUUACCGUUGGGGUAGGUUACGGACCGGCCGACGGUUAGGUUAAACGUUACGAAGUUAGUUAAGUUAGGACGGCGUUGGAGACGUUCGACCGACGGACGACGACGACGGGAGGUUAAGG
RNAcentral lists this ribosomal RNA (672 nucleotides) under uncultured bacterium. RNAcentral describes it as "bacterial SSU rRNA". It matches the Rfam family "Bacterial small subunit ribosomal RNA", at positions 338 to 1533 of the family's 1533-position model. The record is from RNAcentral.